UACGUAGGCAGCAAGCGUUGUUCGGAGUUACUGGGCGUAAAGGGUGUGUAGGCGGUCUUUUAAGUUUGGUGUGAAAUCUCCCGGCUCAACCGGGAGGGUGCGCCGAAUACUGAGAGACUUGGAGUGCGGGAGAGGAAAGUGGAAUUCCUGGUGUAGCGGUGAAAUGCGUAGAUAUCAGGAGGAACACCGGUGGUGUAGACGGCUUUCUGGACCGUAACUGACGCUGAAACACGAAAGCGUGGGUAGCAAACAGG
Molecule: ribosomal RNA, 254 nt
Filed under: uncultured prokaryote
Description: partial 16S ribosomal RNA
Rfam family: Bacterial small subunit ribosomal RNA
Source: RNAcentral